UUUCCGUAGGUGAACCUGCGGAAGGAUCAUUAC
This 33-nucleotide non-coding RNA is filed under the name Aspergillus flavus. RNAcentral also lists the same sequence under 26 other names. The record is from RNAcentral. Lineage: Eukaryota; Fungi; Ascomycota; Eurotiomycetes; Eurotiales; Aspergillaceae.